GACGAACGCUGGCGGCGUGCCUAAUACAUGCAAGUAGAACGCUGAAGAGAGGAGCUUGCUCUUCUUGGAUGAGUUGCGAACGGGUGAGUAACGCGUAGGUAACCUGCCUUGUAGCGGGGGAUAACUAUUGGAAACGAUAGCUAAUACCGCAUAACAAUGGAUGACACAUGUCAUUUAUUUGAAAGGGGCAAUUGCUCCACUACAAGAUGGACCUGCGUUGUAUUAGCUAGUAGGUGAGGUAAUGGCUCACCUAGGCGACGAUACAUAGCCGACCUGAGAGGGUGAUCGGCCACACUGGGACUGAGACACGGCCCAGACUCCUACGGGAGGCAGCAGUAGGGAAUCUUCGGCAAUGGGGGCAACCCUGACCGAGCAACGCCGCGUGAGUGAAGAAGGUUUUCGGAUCGUAAAGCUCUGUUGUAAGUCAAGAACGGGUGUGAGAGUGGAAAGUUCACACUGUGAAGGUAGCUUACCAGAAAGGGACGGCUAACUACGUG
Molecule: ribosomal RNA, 497 nt
Filed under: uncultured bacterium
Lineage: Bacteria
Description: partial 16S ribosomal RNA
Rfam family: Bacterial small subunit ribosomal RNA
Source: RNAcentral